CCUACGGGUGGCAGCAGUGGGGAAUAUUGGGCAAUGGGCGCAAGCCUGACCCAGCAACGCCGCGUGAAUGAAGAAGGCUCUCGGGUUGUAAACUUCUUUUAUCAGGGACGAAGCAAGUGACGGUACCUGAUGAAUAAGCCACGGCUAACUACGUGCCAGCAGCCGCGGUAAUACGUAGGUGGCAAGCGUUAUCCGGAUUUACUGGGUGUAAAGGGCGUGUAGGCGGGAAAGCAAGUCAGAUGUGAAAACCAGGGGCUCAACCUGUGGCCUGCAUUUGAAACUGUUUUUCUGGAGUACUGGAGAGGCAGGCGGAAUUCCUAGUGUAGCGGUGAAAUGCGUAGAUAUUAGGAGGAACACCAGUGGCGAAGGCGGUUUACUGGACAGCAACUGACGCUGAGGCGCGAAAGCGUGGGGAGCAAACAGGAUUAGAUACCCCUGUAGUC
RNAcentral lists this ribosomal RNA (443 nucleotides) under uncultured bacterium. RNAcentral's name for it is "partial 16S ribosomal RNA". It matches the Rfam family "Bacterial small subunit ribosomal RNA", at positions 338 to 795 of the family's 1533-position model. The record is from RNAcentral.